Molecule: long non-coding RNA, 1411 nt
Organism: Mus musculus (house mouse)
Lineage: Eukaryota; Metazoa; Chordata; Mammalia; Rodentia; Muridae
Product: predicted gene, 41158
Exons: 3
Source: RefSeq, a predicted model, not a curated record
GAGAGGAAGAUGAAGUUUGCCCAACAGCAGAAUCAGAGAGAAGUGAGCUAUUCAAAUGUGCUCUACAUUUGUCCCUGAAGACAAGUUUUGCUAAAACAAGAACCUGUGGCAAGCUAGGAACCAAAAUGAGCUUCUGACUCCGGGUUCAGGAAAGCUGUCAAGCAGAUGGAGUCUUGCCCGUGGGAUCCCAGAAGGACUCAGUUCUGAGUUUUCUACCCUAAGGAGCUCUGGAGUUUCUGAGCCAAGUAUGUGGGAAGCACCCAUUUCUCAUCACCGAAAGGGCAAAUUCUCCGCAGGAAUGGAAUUCGUUGGCAUUGGAGACUAAGUCAAGCCCAAUGAGUUUGAGUUGUUGGAACCGCUUUCCAUGACCAAACUCUCCAAGGUUUUGAGUAUUUUAUCUCCUGACUGUGUUGAGAGUUCUGUCAGGGAUCAGGACUGUGUUAGGCACAGCCUGAAACCGGCAGCCAGAUCACACAGGCUCAAAGAACACGGAGGAGUGGGAGGAGGAUGCCAGAGAUGUUCACAGCCGAGCUGCAAACUCUGGGCAUAGGCUGAGGAGGCUGUUGGCUAGAAAUAACCAGCCCUGAGUGUUGGGGAGACUUUAGAGUUUAGUGAUAGAGGGCUCAUGCAUGUAGGGGCAGAGGAGACAAACCUUUGACUUUGGGGAACAGAAAGGGUAGAAGAAAAAUGGAGGGGUGGUUUUUAGCUGUAGAUUUUUACUUGGUUGCUGUUCCUGGGAGGUUUGGUAAGAAAGCGACUUUGGGACUUUUUCCCCAGGAGAAGCUCUGUUUAACCUUAUGAGUGACGAGUCCUUUCUGAUCAGGACUGUAUCAUUAACCAACCCUCUGGCUGGCAGUUCUCAUGAGGUACAGUGGGGUAGGACAGUAGGGACAGAUAUCCUUGGGAUAUGGUGUAUGAUAUUAUAUCAUGGUGUCUCUUCGCAGGAAAAGAACAGUAGCUAAGGCAUAUCUAUUCACACUGUAUGUUUGCAUACACUUUACAAACAUAUAACGCUUUCCCCCAAAGCAACCUGUAACUAAUCAACUGUAUGCUGAUUAAGCAUCUGUGGGAGAAACACUGUGCUAACCACCACGGGAGAUUAAAGGUUUAUAGUACAAACUUUGUCCUUGCACUUGGAGAUUUUACUGUCCAGUGGCAGAAAGAGGACAAGUCGACAGAACAUCUGGAAAGUGAUGAACUAAGUGAAAAUUUCCCCCACCUCUUGCCCAGCCCUCCAUUGCUUUUUCUCCCACAGGGAGGCUCAACCUUGUAUUUACAGGGCUCAGUGCAGGUGAUAGGGAUCUUUCUCCAACUUGUUCCUGAUCCCAUGAAACUUAGCUGCUGAGGUGGUUUGAGUAAGAACCCCCCCCCCCCCAGUUUCAGAUAUCUGAUUGCUUACUCCCCAAUUGGU